RNAcentral lists this ribosomal RNA (301 nucleotides) under uncultured bacterium. RNAcentral describes it as "partial 16S ribosomal RNA". It matches the Rfam family "Bacterial small subunit ribosomal RNA", at positions 509 to 809 of the family's 1533-position model. The record is from RNAcentral.
CAGUCGCCGCGGGAAUACGUAGGUGGCAAGCGUUGUCCGGAAUUAUUGGGCGUAAAGGGCUCGCAGGCGGUUUCUUAAGUCUGAUGUGAAAGCCCCCGGCUCAACCGGGGAGGGUCAUUGGAAACUGGGAAACUUGAGUGCAGAAGAGGAGAGUGGAAUUCCACGUGUAGCGGUGAAAUGCGUAGAGAUGUGGAGGAACACCAGUGGCGAAGGCGAUUCUCUGGUCUGUAACUGACGCUGAGGAGCGAAAGCGUGGGGAGCGAACAGGAUUAGAUACCCGCGUAGUCCCUGUCUCUUAUAA